This 404-nucleotide unclassified non-coding RNA is filed under the name soil metagenome. RNAcentral describes it as "partial contains 5.8S ribosomal RNA, internal transcribed spacer 2, and large subunit ribosomal RNA". The stretch from base 1 to 122 matches the Rfam family "5.8S ribosomal RNA", at positions 35 to 154 of the family's 154-position model. The record is from RNAcentral.
GAUGAAGAACGUAGCAAAAUGCGAUACUUGGUGUGAAUUGCAGAAUCCCGUGAACCAUCGAGUUUUUGAACGCAAGUUGCGCCCGAAGCCUUUUGGCCGAGGGCACGUCUGCCUGGGCGUCACGCAUCGCGUCGCCCCCCACAAUUCUCCGUAAAGGGAACAUGUGUUUUGGGGGCGGAUAUUGGUCUCCCGUGCUCAUGGCGUGGUUGGCCAAAAUAGGAGUCCUUUCGAUGGACGCACGAACUAGUGGUGGUCGUAAAAACCCUCGUCUUUUGUUUCGUGCUGUUGCUCGCAAGGUAAACUCUUUAAAAACCCCAAUGUGUCGUCUCUUGACGACGCUUCGACCGCGACCCCAGGUCAGGCGGGACUACCCGCUGAGUUUAAGCAUAUCAAUAAGCGGAGGA